Molecule: long non-coding RNA, 745 nt
Organism: Portunus trituberculatus (swimming crab)
Lineage: Eukaryota; Metazoa; Arthropoda; Malacostraca; Decapoda; Portunidae
Exons: 2
Source: RefSeq, a predicted model, not a curated record
AUGUACCCGGCCAGUGCUACCAUUACCAAACACAAUAACUUCUAACUAUACAACAAAAUUAACAACAAUAAUGAUGCAACUGGUAAAUUCAACGUAUUUUUAUUCCCUGUUACGUAUUUCCUCUCAGUUCUCCCAUCUCCUUCCAUUAAUUUUAAAAUCUAGUAACAUUUUAUAUCUCCUCUAACUUUACAUUCGCUUCCCUGGAAUCCUCGCUUCACUUCCCCACAUCAGUUACACCACAGCAUCAUUUAUAUAUGUACUUCCUUCUGCCUCCUUGCCUCCUUCCUUCCUCAAUCAGGGCAAAAAUCCGUGCUGGCAACUGUCUCGGAGGGAGGGAGGAGAGAGGGACGUGGUGGAUGAGAAGGAGGAGGGAGGGAGGUAUAUAUGCUGGAUAGCUUUCUACUACACCAUCGACAGUCUUCUUCUCCCAGUGACUUCAUGAGGGUGCGUUUCGUUACUCUUAUACAACUCUGACCUUUACAGCUGAGAGAGAAGAAAAGUAGUGACGUAAGGACAGAAGAAGAAAGAAGAAGAAAGUUACAAAAGGUGACGUAAUACUAAAGACAAUGAAGAUGAAGGAUUAAGAGGAAAAAUAUUGGAAAAUUAUAUAAACGAAACAAAAACACGAGGAAAGUGAAAGCCAAUGAGACAAAAAUGAAAAAAAAAAUAACUGUGAUGAAAACAAGAAAUAUGAUGAAGACAAAACACUGAAAUAAAUAAAUAAAUAGAAUAAAAACAGACAAAA